GACGGACGCUGGCGGCGUGCUUAACACAUGCAAGUUGAACGGAAAGGCCCUGCUUUUGUGGGGUGCUCGAGUGGCGAACGGGUGAGUAACACGUGAGUAACCUGCCCUUGACUUUGGGAUAACUUCAGGAAACUGGGGCUAAUACCGGAUAGGAGCUCCUGCUGCAUGGUGGGGGUUGGAAAGUUUCGGCGGUUGGGGAUGGACUCGCGGCUUAUCAGCUUGUUGGUGGGGUAGUGGCUUACCAAGGCUUUGACGGGUAGCCGGCCUGAGAGGGUGACCGGCCACAUUGGGACUGAGAUACGGACCAGACUCCUACGGGAGGCAGCAGUGGGGAAUAUUGCACAAUGGGCGGAAGCCUGAUGCAGCAACGCCGCGUGCGGGAUGACGGCCUUCGGGUUGUAAACCGCUUUCGCCUGUGACGAAGCGUGAGUGACGGUAAUGGGUAAAGAAGCACCGGCUAACUACGUG
This 468-nucleotide ribosomal RNA is filed under the name uncultured bacterium. RNAcentral's name for it is "partial 16S ribosomal RNA". It matches the Rfam family "Bacterial small subunit ribosomal RNA", at positions 28 to 507 of the family's 1533-position model. The record is from RNAcentral.